UGAGCGGAUGAACUGAGGGUAGCGGAGAAAUUCCAAUCGAACCUGGAGAUAGCUGGUUCUCUCCGAAAUAGCUUUAGGGCUAGCCUCAAGUGAUGAUUAUUGGAGGUAGAGCACUGUUUGGACGAGGGGCCCCUCUCGGGUUACCGAAUUCAGACAAACUCCGAAUGCCAAUUAAUUUAACUUGGGAGUCAGAACAUGGGUGAUAAGGUCCGUGUUCGAAAGGGAAACAGCCCAGACCACCAGCUAAGGUCCCAAAAUAUAUGUUAAGUGGAAAAGGAUGUGGCGUUGCCCAGACAACUAGGAUGUUGGCUUAGAAGCAGCCAUCAUUUAAAGAGUGCGUAAUAGCUCACUAGUCGAGUGACACUGCGCCGAAAAUGUACCGGGGCUAAACAUAUUACCGAAGCUGUGGAUUGUCCUUUGGACAAUGGUAGGAGAGCGUUCUAAGGGCGUUGAAGCAUGAUCGUAAGGACAUGUGGAGCGCUUAGAAGUGAGAAUGCCGGUGUGAGUAGCGAAAGACGGGUGAGAAUCCCGUCCACCGAUUGACUAAGGUUUCCAGAGGAAGGCUCGUCCGCUCUGGGUUAGUCGGGUCCUAAGCUGAGGCCGACAGGCGUAGGCGAUGGAUAACAGGUUGAUAUUCCUGUACCACCUAUAAUCGUUUUAAUCGAUGGGGGGACGCAGUAGGAUAGGCGAAGCGUGCGAUUGGAUUGCACGUCUAAGCAGUAAGGCUGAGUAUUAGGCAAAUCCGGUACUCGUUAAGGCUGAGC
Molecule: ribosomal RNA, 764 nt
Filed under: Staphylococcus aureus
Lineage: Bacteria; Bacillati; Bacillota; Bacilli; Caryophanales; Staphylococcaceae
Description: partial 23S ribosomal RNA
Rfam family: Bacterial large subunit ribosomal RNA
Source: RNAcentral